GAUGAACGCUGGCGGCGUGCCUAAUACAUGCAAGUCGAGCGAACAGACGAGGAGUUUGCUCCUCUGACGUUAGCGGCGGACGGGUGAGUAACACGUGGAUAACCUACCUAUAAGACUGGGAUAACUUCGGGAAACCGGAGCUAAUACCGGAUAAUAUAUUGAACCGCAUGGUUCAAUAGUGAAAGUCGGUUUUGCUGUCACUUAUAGAUGGAUCCGCGCCGCAUUAGCUAGUUGGUAAGGUAACGGCUUACCAAGGCAACGAUGGGUAGCCGACCUGAGAGGGUGGUCGGCCACACUGGAACUGAGACACGGUCCAGACUCCUACGGUAGGCAGCAGUAGAGAAUCUUCCGCAAUGGGCGAGAGCCUGACGGAGCAACGCCGCGUGAGUGAUGAAGGUCUUCGGAUCGUAAAACUCUGUUAUUAGGGAAGAACAAAUGUGUAAGUAACUAUGCACGUCUUGACGGUACCUAAUCAGAAAGCCACGGCUAACUACGUG
RNAcentral lists this ribosomal RNA (497 nucleotides) under uncultured bacterium. RNAcentral describes it as "partial 16S ribosomal RNA". It matches the Rfam family "Bacterial small subunit ribosomal RNA", at positions 28 to 507 of the family's 1533-position model. The record is from RNAcentral.